UGCUCUGGCUAAAGCCCACUGGCUCUUAUUGUCUUCAGACUAGAAUCCACUGUGCUUUAUGAUCACUGUCACCCAUUUACAACAAAAUCUUAGUAUCCCACCACCUUCUGGAUAUGAAAGAAGGGAAAAAAGAAUAUGUAUAUAUUUGCUUGUUUUUGUAAAGAGAAAAACAGAAGGAUAAGCCAAAAAUAAAUUAAAAUAAUUACGUAUAAGAGUGAGUGGAAAUGGGGUGAAAAGGACAGGGAAUGGAAAUGGAGCUGAGUAUUUAUUUUUAUACUUUUGAUUAUGAACCAUGUUACAUAUUCAAAAUAUAAAUCAAGAAAGAAAAAUCAAAUCUGAAAAUGUAAUAUAAAGAGAAACAGCCCAGGCGCAGUGGCUCACGGUAAAAUUUAAAUCUCUUCAAUCAUCACCCCUCCCUAAGUGAUGUCUUCAUGGCUUUCCCUUGUAGCUUACAUUCCCAUUAUUUCGUAACAGUCACCCCCUGUGCCCAGCCACAUAACUACUCAUACUUC
Molecule: long non-coding RNA, 512 nt
Organism: Homo sapiens (human)
Lineage: Eukaryota; Metazoa; Chordata; Mammalia; Primates; Hominidae
Source: Ensembl